RNAcentral lists this ribosomal RNA (128 nucleotides) under Chrysemys picta bellii (western painted turtle). The record is from RNAcentral. Lineage: Eukaryota; Metazoa; Chordata; Testudines; Emydidae.
GGCACCAACAAGGCACUGCUCUGAGGAAGCUCACAGCAGUAGAAUCUUAAUUCAAGCUAAACAGGGUCAGUUCUGGUCAGUAUUUAGAUGGCAGACCUCCAAAGAACAUCCCCAGGGUGUUGGUGCUU